Molecule: non-coding RNA, 627 nt
Organism: Mobula hypostoma (lesser devil ray)
Lineage: Eukaryota; Metazoa; Chordata; Chondrichthyes; Myliobatiformes; Myliobatidae
Source: the annotation of a RefSeq genome assembly
UCGAAAACAAAAGCUGAUAAACUGCGCUUCCUCUCAGAUUCCAAACACUGACCCGGCGCAACAAGCAUGUGGCAGGGUCCCUGGUUCGUGGUGCUGCUUUUCAGCUGUAGAAGUGUGGGUCAGACCCUCAGUCAGUCCAGAGCAUCGAUUACCGUACCUGUCGGGAAAGCUGUGAGCGUUCGGUGUCAAGUGAAAGACAUCUCCGUCAGCAGCAGUAAUCCCCUUCACUGGUACCAACAGAAACCCGGCAAGCCUCCCCAAAGGAUACUGUACUAUGGAGAUAGCGUAACGCGGGAUUCGGAAUUCGGAAAAUCCUUCAACGCGGGAAAAACAUCAGCUACCGAAUACUAUCUCACAAUCGAAGUCAACGCUGAAAGCGCUGCCACGUAUUACUGCGCCUACUGGGUUUACACAAUAUACCACGGAGAAUAUGCAGCCUGUUUAGAGCCUGCAAUACAAGAGGUGUACAGGGUUGUCGACUCAAUCAGCUCCCUCACGGGCACAACCAUCCCCGCCAUCGAAGGCAUUUUAAGAGACUCUGCUUCAACAGGGCGCAGAGCUGAACAAACAAACGUUGACAUGAAGGCGGCGCUCCGGAUCCAGUGCCCACGCAAACGAGAAAGUUGA